This 253-nucleotide ribosomal RNA is filed under the name uncultured bacterium. RNAcentral's name for it is "partial 16S ribosomal RNA". It matches the Rfam family "Bacterial small subunit ribosomal RNA", at positions 524 to 776 of the family's 1533-position model. The record is from RNAcentral.
UACGAAGGGGGCUAGCGUUGCUCGGAAUUAUUGGGCGUAAAGGGCACGUAGGUGGUUUCGUGUGUCUGGGGUGAAAGCCUUGAGCUUAACUCAAGAAGUGCCUUAGAAACGGCGAGACUAGAGUCUUGGAGAGGGUAGUGGAAUUCCCGGUGUAGCGGUGGAAUGCGUAGAGAUCGGGAGGAACACCAGAGGCGAAGGCGGCGACCUGGACAAGUACUGACACUCAACUGCGAAAGCGUGGGGAGCAAACAGG